This 253-nucleotide ribosomal RNA is filed under the name uncultured bacterium. Its description in RNAcentral is "partial 16S ribosomal RNA". It matches the Rfam family "Bacterial small subunit ribosomal RNA", at positions 524 to 776 of the family's 1533-position model. The record is from RNAcentral.
UACGCAGGGGGCCACCGCUGUUCGGAAUUACUGGCCGUAAAGGGCACGUAGGCGGGUUGAUAAGUCUGUCGUGAAAGCCCACGGCUCAACCGUGGAAUUGCGGGGGAUACUGCUGGUCUCGAGUCCGGAAGAGGUGAGUGGAAUUCCUAGUGUAGCGGUGAAAUUCGUAGAUAUUGGGAAGAACACCAGUGGCGAAGGCGGCUCUCUGGACCGGUACUGACGCUGAGGCGCGAAAGCUAGGGGAGAAAACGGG